GAUGAACGCUGGCGGCGUGCCUAAUACAUGCAAGUCGAGCGAACAGACGAGGAGCUUGCUCCUUUGACGUUAGCGGCGGACGGGUGAGUAACACGUAGGUAACCUACCUAUAAGACUGGGAUAACUUCGGGAAACCGGAGCUAAUACCGGAUAAUAUUUCGAACCGCAUGGUUCGAUAGUGAAAGAUGGCUUUGCUAUCACUUAUAGAUGGACCUGCGCCGUAUUAGCUAGUUGGUAAGGUAACGGCUUACCAAGGCAACGAUACGUAGCCGACCUGAGAGGGUGAUCGGCCACACUGGAACUGAGCCACGGUCCAGGCUCCUACGGGAGGCAGCAGUAGGGAAUCUUACGCAAUGGGCGAGAGCCUGACGGAGCAACGCCGCGUGAGUGAUGAAGGUCUUCGGAUCGUAAAACUCUGUUAUUAGGGAAGAACAGACGUGUAAGUAACUGUGCACGUCUUGACGGUACCUAAUCAGAAAGCCACGGCUAACUACGUG
RNAcentral lists this ribosomal RNA (497 nucleotides) under uncultured bacterium. RNAcentral describes it as "partial 16S ribosomal RNA". It matches the Rfam family "Bacterial small subunit ribosomal RNA", at positions 28 to 507 of the family's 1533-position model. The record is from RNAcentral.